UGUUUGGAGAGUUUGAUCCUGGCUCAGGACGAACGCUGGCGGCGUGCUUAACACAUGCAAGUCGAGCGGAAAGGCCCUUCGGGGUACUCGAGC
Molecule: non-coding RNA, 93 nt
Filed under: Nonomuraea angiospora
Lineage: Bacteria; Bacillati; Actinomycetota; Actinomycetes; Streptosporangiales; Streptosporangiaceae
Also listed under: 2 other names
Description: partial 16S ribosomal RNA
Rfam family: Bacterial small subunit ribosomal RNA
Source: RNAcentral